UACGUAGGUGGCAAGCGUUGUCCGGAUUUACUGGGUGUAAAGGGCGUGCAGCCGGAGAGACAAGUCAGAUGUGAAAUCCACGGGCUCAACCCGUGAACUGCAUUUGAAACUGUUUCCCUUGAGUGUCGGAGAGGCAAUCGGAAUUCCUUGUGUAGCGGUGAAAUGCGUAGAUAUAAGGAAGAACACCAGUGGCGAAGGCGGAUUACUGGACGAUAACUGACGGUGAGGCGCGAAAGCGUGGGGAGCAAACAGG
RNAcentral lists this ribosomal RNA (253 nucleotides) under uncultured bacterium. Its description in RNAcentral is "partial 16S ribosomal RNA". It matches the Rfam family "Bacterial small subunit ribosomal RNA", at positions 524 to 776 of the family's 1533-position model. The record is from RNAcentral.